RNAcentral lists this ribosomal RNA (756 nucleotides) under uncultured Glomus. Its description in RNAcentral is "eukaryotic LSU rRNA". It matches the Rfam family "Eukaryotic large subunit ribosomal RNA", at positions 38 to 648 of the family's 3401-position model. The record is from RNAcentral. Lineage: Eukaryota; Fungi; Glomeromycota; Glomeromycetes; Glomerales; Glomeraceae.
GCAUAUCAAUAAGCGGAGGAAAAGAAAAUAACAAUGAUUCCCUUAGUAACGGCGAGUGAAGAGGGAUUAGCUCAAAUUUAAAAUCUGCUGGGUUUUACCUAUCAGAGUUGUAAUUUGAAGAGGGCGUUUUCCGCGUCAUUGUUGGUCCAAAUCCUUUGGGAUAAGGUAUCAUGGAGGGUGAGAAUCCCGUCCGGCCGACAUCAUGAUGUUUUACGAUACGCUUUCAAAGAGUCGAGUUGUUUGGGAUUGCAGCUCAAAAUGGGAGGUAAAUUUCUCCUAAGGCUAAAUAUUGGCGAGAGACCGAUAGCGAACAAGUACCGUGAGGGAAAGAUGAAAAGAACUUUGGAAAGAGAGUUAAAAAGUACGUGAAAUUGUUGAAAGGGAAACGAUUGAAGUCAGUCGUACCGACGAGAAAUCAGCUUUUCGAAUGUGCAUUUGUGGGCGUAUGAGAUCUUCAUUGUUUACAAUAUGUAUGUUUUUUUGGUGUACUUUUUCGUAUGGUAGGUCAAUGUCGGUUUUGAUCGCCAUAAAAUGAUCGGAGGAAUGUAGCUUCGGCUUCGGUUGAAGUGUUAUAGCCUUUGGUAAAUGUGGUGAUUAAGACCGAGGAUUGCAACGAAUACCUUUUAGGCUAUCCGUCUGACCUCUGAAAGUUACUUAGGUGCCGAAAGCUUGCUUACGGUCAUUUAAGUUGACGGUCAAUAGGUUAGAACGUGAUUACAUUCGUUAAGGACGUUGACGUAAUGGGCUUUAAACGAC